UCGAUAGUUCUGGAGAAGGGAGUCCUUUGUUAAUCACCAGAGCAGACACAGCCUGGGUGGCAGCAAAACAUGUUUCUCUGCACUGCCCCACCAAUGUAUCUCAACCCAUUUCUGGAGGGACCAUAUCUAGAGGUAAGGGGGGAGUUCAGUCGCCAUUCCCAUCGAGUCCUUGGCCUCU
Molecule: unclassified non-coding RNA, 178 nt
Organism: Gopherus agassizii (Agassiz's desert tortoise)
Lineage: Eukaryota; Metazoa; Chordata; Testudines; Testudinidae
Source: Ensembl